Molecule: long non-coding RNA, 1203 nt
Organism: Megalobrama amblycephala (Wuchang bream)
Lineage: Eukaryota; Metazoa; Chordata; Actinopteri; Cypriniformes; Xenocyprididae
Exons: 2
Source: RefSeq, a predicted model, not a curated record
AAGGUAGUGUAACAGUCUUGAACUGUCAUAUUAGGUGCCCUGGUAAAUGUAAAUCCACUACCUGACACUAGGGGCAGUGUGGCCCUGAUUGCUGUAGUAUAUCAGCAACGUAGAUGUAGAAGAAGUGAGAUUGGUUUGAUCGUGGAGAUCGUGCUACAGCAUGGUGGAUGGUGUCUGCAACCCACUCUUAAGAGUCCUGACUGGGAAUCUUUGGGGAUUUUCUGCUCAGUCAAUAAGGACUCUUUAGUCUUUAUGAACAAUACAAAGGUGGAUUAUUCAUCAAAAAGGCCCCUUUACCUCAGGAAUUGUUUCUUUCAACUUCCUUGUGAUUUCAUGAGGCGCUAGGGGAAAUGUAUGCUGGUAUGCUUGGACACUUGUUGGAUUAUAUCUGACUGGUUCAACUCGCAUCACUUCGAGACUUUAACUCCCUGGACUUCAGCCGCAAGGGCUUCAUCAUUGUGAACUAUCCAGAUAAGCUACCAUUUCACUUGGGAAGGGUGUUUAUUUACAUAUGAUCCUUCCCAGUGGUUAAAUGAUCUGACUCCAGUGGUUACCCGCUUAUGGGUGAUUUCAUAACCUGAUAUCAGGGGCGGACUGGCCAUCGGGAGCACCGGGACAUUUCCCGGUGGCCUGAUGGUCAUUCUGGCCUGCCGGCUGCCGCUGUGCUGUCGAUCAGACUGACGUGCAAUAGGCUGUAUGCAACUGCGAAUUAAUUGACGCACUUAUGAAUCUACGAAUCAGGCGAUCGCGGAGUGAAAAUGACACCACCACAUGACCCAACAUCAGCGAAGCACUGCCUAAUUGGCUAUAUCCAGAGGCAGGCUUUAUCUUGAAAAAUAGUGCAAAAAAUGGAGCGUAAACGCAAAGGAGGAGCAGAGAGGGAACGCAUAAAAAGGAGAAAAGCCCUGGCCACAGACGCAGCAAGUUGCUGCAAAAUCCCAGCCAUGUUCGCCGGUAAGGGAACAGGUCAGUCAGAAUUACAUUUACAUAAUAUUUACCAGGGGUGGGGAAAAAAAAUCGAUCCGUUCGGUUCUCCACACUCGGUUCGGCACGCGCUCGGACCGCUGUUCAACUUAAAUCUGACGAAGCAUCUGUAAUAUGGUUUAAUAUAAAUAACACGUAAAACAAUCAGGGUUCAGUUAAUAUAUGUUUCUGUUGAUGGAUGAACAUUCUGGGUUCCCAGACAUUACAACAACAGCGAUG